RNAcentral lists this ribosomal RNA (586 nucleotides) under uncultured bacterium. RNAcentral describes it as "partial 16S ribosomal RNA". It matches the Rfam family "Bacterial small subunit ribosomal RNA", at positions 355 to 1376 of the family's 1533-position model. The record is from RNAcentral.
UGGGGAAUUUUGGACAAUGGGCGCAAGCCUGAUCCAGCCAUGCCGCGUGCGGGAAGAAGGCCUUCGGGUUGUAAACCGCUUUUGUCAGGGAAGAAAUCUUCUGAGUUAAUACCUCGGGAGGAUGACGGUACCUGAAGGAUAAGCACCGGCUAACUACGUGCCAGCAGCCGCGGUAAUACGUAGGGUGCAAGCGUUAAUCGGAAUUACUGGGCGUAAAGCGUGCGCAGGCGGUUUUGUAAGACAGAGGUGAAAUCCCCGGGCUCAGCCUGGGAACUGCCUUUGUGACUGCAAGGCUUGAGUGCGGCAGAGGGGGGAUGGAAUUCCGCGUGUAGCAGUGAAAUGCGUAGAUAUGCGGAGGAACACCGAUGGCGAAGGCAAUCCCCUGGGCCUGCACUGCGCUCAUGCACGAAAGCGUGGGGAGCAAACAGGAUUAGAUACCCUGGUAGUCCACGCCCUAAACGAUGUCAACUGGUUGUUGGGAAGGUUCCUUCUCAGUAACGUAGCUAACGCGUGAAGUUGGCCGCCUGGGGAGUACGGCCGCAAGGUUGAAACUUAAAUGAAUUGACGGGGUCAUAGCUGUUUCCUG